UACGUAGGGUGCAAGCGUUGUCCGGAAUUAUUGGGCGUAAAGAGCUCGUAGGCGGUUAGUCACGUCGGCUGUGAAAACCCGAGGCUCAACCUCGGGCCUGCAGUCGAUACGGGCAGACUAGAGUGCUGUAGGGGAGACUGGAAUUCCUGGUGUAGCGGUGAAAUGCGCAGAUAUCAGGAGGAACACCGGUGGCGAAGGCGGGUCUCUGGGCAGUAACUGACGCUGAGGAGCGAAAGCGUGGGGAGCAAACAGG
RNAcentral lists this ribosomal RNA (253 nucleotides) under uncultured bacterium. RNAcentral's name for it is "partial 16S ribosomal RNA". It matches the Rfam family "Bacterial small subunit ribosomal RNA", at positions 524 to 776 of the family's 1533-position model. The record is from RNAcentral.